CCCUUAGAUGUUCUGGGCCGCACGCGCGCUACACUGAUGCAUUCAACGAGUCUAAAACCUGCUCUGAUAGGGGUGGGUAAUCUUUUGAAUGUGCAUCGUGAUUGGGAUAGAUGAUUGCAAUUUUUCAUCUUCAACGAGGAAUGCCUAGUAAACGCAAGUCAUCAGCUUGCAUUGAUUACGUCCCUGCCCUUUGUACACACCGCCCGUCGCUCCUACCGAUUGAAUGAUCCGAUGAAUAUCAUGGAUUGAGGAUUAUAGCAGGUCCGCCUGUCUUGAUCUUCGAGAAGUGAAGUAAAUCUUAUCAUUUAGAGGAAGGAGAAGUCGUAACA
RNAcentral lists this ribosomal RNA (329 nucleotides) under uncultured eukaryote. Its description in RNAcentral is "partial 18S ribosomal RNA". It matches the Rfam family "Eukaryotic small subunit ribosomal RNA", at positions 1470 to 1796 of the family's 1831-position model. The record is from RNAcentral.